AGUCACAUCAUUCGAAUGGUUUUGAAUUCUAGCACAGAUGACCCACACCAAACGAGUCCUUUACCAUACUAAUCCCAUUUAAAAUCUUUUUUACCAAUUUAAUACACAUAUCAACUUAUUUAUUAAAAUGAUGUAAAUCCCAUAAAAUAUCAUUUCAAAUAGCAUUUUUUUUGAAAAAAUACCAUUUGAAAUGGUAUUUUUUUUAUCCUAGUCAUCACCUACUUGGACACCUGCGAUGAAAAAAAAUUGAAAAAUGCC
This 258-nucleotide long non-coding RNA is filed under the name Elaeis guineensis (African oil palm). Its description in RNAcentral is "long non-coding RNA (EGUI_LNC068563)". Lineage: Eukaryota; Viridiplantae; Streptophyta; Magnoliopsida; Arecales; Arecaceae. The record is from RNAcentral.